Molecule: ribosomal RNA, 465 nt
Filed under: uncultured bacterium
Lineage: Bacteria
Description: bacterial SSU rRNA
Rfam family: Bacterial small subunit ribosomal RNA
Source: RNAcentral
CCUACGGGUGGCACCAGUGGGGGAUAUUGCACAAUGGGCGCAAGCCUGAUGCAGCCAUGCCGCGUGUAUGAAGAAGGCCCUAGGGUUGUAAAGUACUUUCAGUCGGGAGGAAGGCGUUGAUGCUAAUAUCAUCAACGAUUGACGUUACCGACAGAAGAAGCACCGGCUAACUCCGUGCCAGCAGCCGCGGUAAUACGGAGGGUGCAAGCGUUAAUCGGAAUUACUGGGCGUAAAGCGCACGCAGGCGGUUGAUUAAGUUAGAUGUGAAAUCCCCGGGCUUAACCUGGGAAUGGCAUCUAAGACUGGUCAGCUAGAGUCUUGUAGAGGGGGGUAGAAUUCCAUGUGUAGCGGUGAAAUGCGUAGAGAUGUGGAGGAACACCAGUGGCGAAGGCGGCCUGCUGGACAUUAACUGACGCUGAGGAGCGAAAGCGUGGGGAGCAAACAGGAUUAGAUACCCGCGUAGUC